CCGCCCGCCCGUGCUGUCUUGGAAGUAUAACUAAACAAACCACCGAGCUGUGUGUGUCUUCUCUCCAUGCUGAAACCGUGGAGCACCGCAGUGAACGUGGCUGCUUUGCUGCAGCAGAUCCAGGGAGAGGAGCCUGUUUGCAUUCCACUGCAGGUGCAAAACGAUGGAGGUGAAACUCGAUCAGCAGGACGAAGAUAUCUCAUUCAGCACUGACACUAAUGGUAAACGCCCAGCUGAGGACAUGGACGAAGAGCAGGCCUUCAAACGUUCUCGCAACGCUGACGAGAUGGUGGAGCUGCGUGUGCUGCUUCAGAGCAAAAAUGCCGGCGCUGUUAUCGGAAAGGGUGGCAAGAACAUAAAAGCCUUACGCACAGACUACAAUGCCAGUGUAUCAGUCCCAGACAGCAGUGGCCCAGAGCGGAUCUUGAGUGUGAACGCCAGCAUCGACACCAUUGGAGAGAUUCUGCUGAAAAUCAUACCAACUCUAGAGGAGUACCAGCAUUACAGUGGGAUUGAUUUUGACUCUGAGCUUCGCCUGCUGAUCCAUCAGAGUUUGGCAGGGGGCAUCAUCGGGGUAAAAGGUGCCAAGAUAAAGGAGCUGAGAGAGAACACCCAGACCACCAUCAAGCUGUUCCAGGAGUGCUGUCCACACUCCACUGACAGAGUGGUCUUGGUGGGAGGAAAGCCAGAACGAGUCGUUGAAUGUAUAAAAGUGAUCCUGGAGCUGGUGUCAGAGGCGCCAAUCAAAGGUCGUGCUCAGCCUUAUGACCCUAAUUUCUACGAUGAGACCUACGACUACGGCGGUUUCACCAUGUUAUUCGAGGAGAGAGGAAGACGACCGAUCGGCGGCUUCCCCAUUCGCGUGCGUGGGGGCUUUGAGCGCAUGCCCCCCGUUCGCGGCAACCGACCCAUGCCUCCCUCCAGAAGGGACUACGACGACAUAAGCCCCCGUCGGGGUCCUCCGCCGCCGCUGAGCAGAGGUGGACGAGGGGGCAGCCGAGCACGUAAUCUGCCUCUUCCCCCGCCACCGCCGCCAAGAGGAGGGGGAGACCGGUUCUCACAUGGCAGCUAUCACGGCAGCAUGGACGACAGACAAAGUGACAGAAGAGGCCGAGGAGGAGACCGUUAUGACAGCAUGAGUGGAGGUGGAUAUGACAACAAUUCUUCCUGGGAGCACUUUCAGUCUGGUGGUAGAAGCUCAUACAGUGACAUCGGAGGCCCAGUCAUCACAACACAAGUCACCAUCCCAAAAGAUCUGGCUGGCUCCAUCAUCGGUAAGGGCGGCCAGAGGAUCAAGCAGAUCCGCCACGAGUCAGGGGCAUCCAUCAAGAUUGAUGAACCACUAGAGGGCUCUGAGGACCGCAUCAUCACCAUCACAGGAACACAGGACCAGAUCCAGAACGCCCAGUACCUGCUGCAGAACAGGCAUGUGCUCCGGUGACUCCAUCAGAGAGCUCAUCUCAUUGGAGCAGUGUGGGCUCCACUCAUGGCCUGCGUGCUUGUCCACCACUGUUUGGAAUGUGAGGCAGUACUCUGGUCGGUUCUUCUAGGACGAACGAGGGACGUGAAGAAGACGAGUGAAGCCAUGCUGCCAUACUGUUUCCUCCUUCUAUUCAGAGCCUACAUUCCUCUGCUUUGCCUCCUCCUCUCAGUAUCACACACUACACCAUCUAUCUAUACAUAUUUUCUUUUUUUUUGAGGAAAAAUCUUAAGCUGGUCAAACAGCAAACAAGGUGUCAACAACAUGUUUCUGUGCUGGUGUAGUUAUUUUGAAGGAGAUUUUUGUGCCGUCAUUGGAGUAAACUCAUCUGUGUGUUGG
Molecule: RNA transcript, 1819 nt
Organism: Sebastes umbrosus (honeycomb rockfish)
Lineage: Eukaryota; Metazoa; Chordata; Actinopteri; Perciformes; Sebastidae
Gene: hnrpkl
Gene name: heterogeneous nuclear ribonucleoprotein K, like
Exons: 16
Source: RefSeq, a predicted model, not a curated record